GACAGCAGGCUCUUCGGCUGGUGGAACUGGGGCAGGAACUAUUUAGGUGGUGGAGGUAGCCAUGAGGAGCUAGUGUCUUUGCAUGAAUGGACCAUUGGGCAUCCAUCUGACUCAAGAGACCAAAGAAAAUUUUUGGAAGUGUGAGUUCUUGGAGAUUUUCUCAUUGCUUCCCCUGGACCAAUUCAUGGACAUUAAGGAGGAUACAAAAUGGGAGCAGGGCAAGAAAGAAGAGUGAAAGAAAAAGGUAUAGAAAGUUAUUGAAGACUUUUGGCAACUGAUCCCGUGCCUUUUGUAUUUGAGCUAGUGUGACAGCCGGGAAGUUCCAUGAGCAGGGAUCAGCAUUAUUCUGCUACUUUGAUGAGAUUUCAGUUGCCAACCGCACAUUUGGAGGCAUGGCAUGGUGGCAAUAUGAUGGGUAGUUUCGCCAACGGAUAGUGGUGCGCUCAGACAUGAAGUUGGAUGACCACAAUAUGGUAAUCUGGUUGGAAAUGAACACUCUUCAACGUGUUGGGCAGUCCUUUUGAGGGACUGGGGUGAGCAGGCCCUGGUGGGGCCCAGUCGAGCAUGAUGGUGGCAAUCAGAAAGAGACUCUGCUUCCAGUUUAAUGAUGGACAAUGUCGCUUUUGAGGGUCCUUUAAGUACAAGCACCUGUGUUCAGGUUGCGGGGGAAUGCAUGCCUUCUCCUAGUGCUUUUGGCAUGGUCGGCAGGUGGUUAAAUCGGGGGACAUCAGUGUAAUGUGUGUACAAGGCGCGGACGCCAGUGAGGGUCGAAAAGAUGGUGCCAUGGUCAGAAUGGUAAGCUAGGGGGAGAUCUCGACAGCAGAAUACAGAGCUGCUGUUGACGGGAUUUAGUUCGGGUUUUUGGAUUCCGUUUGUAGAGGGGGGUCAAAGAUUCAUGGGAAUUUAAAAUCUGUGUGGGAAUUCCUGGAGAUUGUGCGGACUAAGUUGUUAAAAGAAGUCUCAUUGGAUAGGAUGGCUGGACCUUUCAAGGAACAUCCAUUGGCCAAUUUGAGAAUAUCUCACCAAAAGAUGCUUAAGUCAAUGAUGGGCUUGACCUUGAGUUGGCUGCGGUGUGUUAUGCAUCUUUUGAUAGAGUGGUGAAGUUGGUUCGGACAGCUAGGGUGGAAACCUUAAUGGUGAAAGUUGAUGUGGAGGCCGCUUUCCGUCUUUUUACUAGUGCACCCAAAAUCUCAUCAUUUCUGGGUUGCUUUUUUGACGGUUCAUACUUCGUAGACCUUUGUCUGCCCAUGGGUUGUUCUAUCUCCUGCUCCUACUUCAAGAAGUUCAGUUGUUCUGUGGAGUGGGUGGUAAAGCAGCAGUUGGGACUUGGUUCAUUAGUCCAUUAUUUGGAUGAUUUUCUGUUUGUUGGCCGAGACAGGUCUUCGGAGUGCAGGAGGCUCAUGGUGGCUUUCAUGCAGGUGGCAAAAUAUUUUGGGAUCCCAGGGGCUGAGGAAAAGAUGGAGGGACUCACCACAUUUGAGUUUUUUUUAGUAUCUUGAUCGACACAGUUCUAAUAGAAUGCUGGUUACCCAAGGAUAAGGUGGGAGACCUGUUAGCCACUAUUGAAGGGGUGUUGUUGAAGCAGAAGCUUAAGUUAAGGGAAUAUCAGUCUGUGAUUGGCAAGCUUAACUUUGCAUGUAAAAUCAUUCCGGUGGAAUGGGUUUUCACGAGAAAAUUGUCCUUGGUGACCGCAGGUGUGAAGGAGCCAUUCCACCGGAUUCGGAUCCGGAAAGAGUUCAAAGAGAAUUUGAGUAUCUGGUGGUAUUUUUUGAGGGAUUUUAAUGGUAGGGCAAUGGUGCAGGAGGCAGGUGUAUUUGAUUCGGACCUUCAUUUCUUCACGGAUACGUCGGUGAAGGAGGCGGGUGUAUUGGAUUGGAUCAGGGGCCAUAUAUUUUGGGGUUUAUCUGCAGGGUAAAUGGUGUGUGGGUCAGUGGCCAAAAGCAUGGGUCAAGGAGGGGUUAACUAAGAAUUUAGUAUACCUGGAGCUGUUCCCUCUGGUCGUGGCUUUGCAUGUGUGGCAACAUCUUUUGUCUAACAAAAGUGUGACUUUCCAUUCUGACAAUAUGGGUGUGGUAAUGGCCAUUAAUAGUUUGUCUGCCUCGUAUCCUCCUGUGGUUCAAUUGUAUUUGUUCAAUUGUAUUUGUGUUGAAAUAUUUGCAAUGCAAUGUUUUAUUUAAAGCAGUGUAUGUGCCAGGAAAAUGUAAUGCAAUUGCUGAUGCUCUCUCCAUUUACAGUGGUAUUGAUUCCGUUGCUUGGCUCCAGAGGCAGAAGAGAUUGGGGAGGAGUGCCCGGAGGAGCUGUGGGGAAUGGCAUUCUCAGCAGGCUGAAUAUGAUGAGAGGAGCGUUGCUCCAGGGACAUGGAAAUCUUACAUGCAGGUUCGAUUCAGUGUUGGCUGAUGGGUCAUUCCUAUAUAUAUUGGGCUAUGAAGGCGGCAGCAGUGAAAGAGGAUGGGGUUCAACUGGAGUUUUCUCCAGAGGUGGUUGGCAUAUGCUGGUUUGGAAUCAAAGGCAUGAGGUAGGAUCAAUUACUAAUAAAAGUUUUGGAGUAUGCUA
Molecule: long non-coding RNA, 2553 nt
Organism: Bombina bombina (fire-bellied toad)
Lineage: Eukaryota; Metazoa; Chordata; Amphibia; Anura; Bombinatoridae
Exons: 2
Source: RefSeq, a predicted model, not a curated record